This 65-nucleotide transfer RNA is filed under the name Dipodomys ordii (Ord's kangaroo rat). It matches the Rfam family "tRNA". From Rfam's summary of the family: Transfer RNA (tRNA) molecules are approximately 80 nucleotides in length. Their secondary structure includes four short double-helical elements and three loops (D, anti-codon, and T loops). Further hydrogen bonds mediate the characteristic L-shaped molecular structure. tRNAs have two regions of fundamental functional importance: the anti-codon, which is responsible for specific mRNA codon recognition, and the 3' end, to which the tRNAs corresponding amino acid is attached (by aminoacyl-tRNA synthetases). tRNAs cope with the degeneracy of the genetic code in two manners: having more than one tRNA (with a specific anti-codon) for a particular amino acid; and 'wobble' base-pairing, i.e. permitting non-standard base-pairing at the 3rd anti-codon position. The record is from Rfam by way of RNAcentral. Lineage: Eukaryota; Metazoa; Chordata; Mammalia; Rodentia; Heteromyidae.
GGUGGAUCAGUGGUAGAGCACUUGCCUUGCAUGCAUGAGGUCCUGGGUUCGAUUCCUCAGCACCA